UACGGGGGGAGCAAGCGUUGUUCGGAUUUACUGGGCGUAAAGGGCGCGUAGGCGGCCAGCCACAAGUCAGUUGUGAAAUCUCCGAGCUUAACUCGGAAAGGUCAACUGAUACUGUGCGGCUAGAGUGCGGAAGGGGCAACUGGAAUUCUUGGUGUAGCGGUGGAAUGCGCAGAUAUCAGGAGGAACACCGGUGGCGAAGGCGGAUCUCUGGGCCAUUACUGACGCUGAGGAGCGAAAGCGUGGGGAGCGAACAGG
This 255-nucleotide ribosomal RNA is filed under the name uncultured bacterium. Its description in RNAcentral is "partial 16S ribosomal RNA". It matches the Rfam family "Bacterial small subunit ribosomal RNA", at positions 524 to 776 of the family's 1533-position model. The record is from RNAcentral.